Molecule: ribosomal RNA, 1039 nt
Filed under: uncultured marine bacterium
Lineage: Bacteria
Description: bacterial SSU rRNA
Rfam family: Bacterial small subunit ribosomal RNA
Source: RNAcentral
GGAACGAGUUAUCUGAACCUUCGGGGAACGAUAACGGCGUCGAGCGGCGGACGGGUGAGUAAUGCCUAGGAAAUUGCCCUGAUGUGGGGGAUAACCAUUGGAAACGAUGGCUAAUACCGCAUAAUGCCUACGGGCCAAAGAGGGGGACCUUCGGGCCUCUCGCGUCAGGAUAUGCCUAGGUGGGAUUAGCUAGUUGGUGAGGUAAGGGCUCACCAAGGCGACGAUCCCUAGCUGGUCUGAGAGGAUGAUCAGCCACACUGGAACUGAGACACGGUCCAGACUCCUACGGGAGGCAGCAGUGGGGAAUAUUGCACAAUGGGCGCAAGCCUGAUGCAGCCAUGCCGCGUGUGUGAAGAAGGCCUUCGGGUUGUAAAGCACUUUCAGUCGUGAGGAAGGUAGUGUAGUUAAUAGCUGCAUUAUUUGACGUUAGCGACAGAAGAAGCACCGGCUAACUCCGUGCCAGCAGCCGCGGUAAUACGGAGGGUGCGAGCGUUAAUCGGAAUUACUGGGCGUAAAGCGCAUGCAGGUGGUUUGUUAAGUCAGAUGUGAAAGCCCGGGGCUCAACCUCGGAAUUGCAUUUGAAACUGGCAGACUAGAGUACUGUAGAGGGGGGUAGAAUUUCAGGUGUAGCGGUGAAAUGCGUAGAGAUCUGAAGGAAUACCGGUGGCGAAGGCGGCCCCCUGGACAGAUACUGACACUCAGAUGCGAAAGCGUGGGGAGCAAACAGGAUUAGAUACCCUGGUAGUCCACGCCGUAAACGAUGUCUACUUGGAGGUUGUGGCCUUGAGCCGUGGCUUUCGGAGCUAACGCGUUAAGUAGACCGCCUGGGGAGUACGGUCGCAAGAUUAAAACUCAAAUGAAUUGACGGGGGCCCGCACAAGCGGUGGAGCAUGUGGUUUAAUUCGAUGCGACGCGAAGAACCUUACCUACUCUUGACAUCCAGAGAACUUUCCAGAGAUGGAUUGGUGCCUUCGGGAACUCUGAGACAGGUGCUGCAUGGCUGUCGUCAGCUCGUGUUGUGAAAUGUUGGAUUAAGUCC